Molecule: ribosomal RNA, 303 nt
Filed under: Triticum aestivum (bread wheat)
Lineage: Eukaryota; Viridiplantae; Streptophyta; Magnoliopsida; Poales; Poaceae
Description: partial small subunit ribosomal RNA
Source: RNAcentral
AUGGGUCACGUGAUAAACAUCACACUGAUGAACCUGUCGAACAACCAGCUGAACGGGACAGUCCCGGCUUCCAUCUGCGGCUUGCCGAAGCUCGAGCGGCUCUCCCUUUCCAACAACGCCCUGAGGGGCAUGAUCCCAGCGUGCAUAGGCAACGCGACGAGCCUCGGCGCGCGAGCUGGAUCUGUCAGGCAAUGCACUGUCUGGGAGCAUCCCAAGCGUCAUCGGGACUGGGCUUGUCAACCGGCUGUCCGGGGAGAUACCGGCAAACUGCCUUGCCGAAUGCAUCCGCUUGCUGCACCUUGA